GACGAACGCUGGCGGCGUGCUUAACACAUGCAAGUCGAACGGAGUUACGUUUUCGGAUGUAACUUAGUGGCGAACGGGUGAGUAACGCGUGAGGAACCUGCCUCUCAGUGGGGGGACAACAGUUGGAAACGACUGCUAAUACCGCAUAAUGUCAUGAAUCGGCAUCGGUUUAUGACCAAAGAUUUAUUGCUGAGAGAUGGCCUCGCGUCUGAUUAGCUAGUUGGUGGGGUAACGGCCCACCAAGGCGACGAUCAGUAGCCGGACUGAGAGGUUGACCGGCCACAUUGGGACUGAGAUACGGCCCAG
Molecule: ribosomal RNA, 306 nt
Filed under: uncultured bacterium
Lineage: Bacteria
Description: bacterial SSU rRNA
Rfam family: Bacterial small subunit ribosomal RNA
Source: RNAcentral